GGCCCCGUAGCUCAACCGGAUAGAGCAGCGGUCUUCUAAACCGCAGGUUGCAGGUUCAAGUCCUGCCGGGGUCGCCA
This 77-nucleotide transfer RNA is filed under the name Hyphomicrobiales bacterium. Its description in RNAcentral is "tRNA-Arg". It matches the Rfam family "tRNA". Rfam says of the family: Transfer RNA (tRNA) molecules are approximately 80 nucleotides in length. Their secondary structure includes four short double-helical elements and three loops (D, anti-codon, and T loops). Further hydrogen bonds mediate the characteristic L-shaped molecular structure. tRNAs have two regions of fundamental functional importance: the anti-codon, which is responsible for specific mRNA codon recognition, and the 3' end, to which the tRNAs corresponding amino acid is attached (by aminoacyl-tRNA synthetases). tRNAs cope with the degeneracy of the genetic code in two manners: having more than one tRNA (with a specific anti-codon) for a particular amino acid; and 'wobble' base-pairing, i.e. permitting non-standard base-pairing at the 3rd anti-codon position. Lineage: Bacteria; Pseudomonadati; Pseudomonadota; Alphaproteobacteria; Hyphomicrobiales. The record is from RNAcentral.